Molecule: ribosomal RNA, 277 nt
Filed under: uncultured Raoultibacter sp.
Lineage: Bacteria; Bacillati; Actinomycetota; Coriobacteriia; Eggerthellales; Eggerthellaceae
Description: partial 16S ribosomal RNA
Rfam family: Bacterial small subunit ribosomal RNA
Source: RNAcentral
GCAGCCGCGGUAAUACGUAUGGGGCGAGCGUUAUCCGGAUUUAUUGGGCGUAAAGCGCGCGUAGGCGGCCUAUUAAGCGCAAUCUCUAAUCUUAGGGCUCAACCCUAAGCCGGAUUGCGAACUGGUAGGCUCGAGUUUGGUAGAGGAAGAUGGAAUUCCCAGUGUAGCGGUGAAAUGCGCAGAUAUUGGGAAGAACACCGAUGGCGAAGGCAGUCUUCUGGGCCAUAACUGACGCUGAGGUGCGAAAGCGUGGGGAGCAAACAGGAUUAGAUACCCC